UAUAAUUUUUGUCUCUUCGUCUUAUUCAAAUUUUUUUAGCGAUUGAUAUUUUUGCUUUUAUUAGAUGAUAAAUCAUGAAUAGUACUUUACGUGUGACUAAUUUUUUUCUAAUUUCCUGAAAAUUUUUCAAAUAAAACGGAUGUUCAAACGCUGGGCACAAAAAUCAA
RNAcentral lists this microRNA precursor (167 nucleotides) under Oryza brachyantha (malo sina). RNAcentral describes it as "MIR812 microRNA precursor family". It matches the Rfam family "MIR812 microRNA precursor family", at positions 27 to 191 of the family's 205-position model. Lineage: Eukaryota; Viridiplantae; Streptophyta; Magnoliopsida; Poales; Poaceae. The record is from Rfam by way of RNAcentral.